ACUCCUACGGGAGGCAGCAGUGGGGAAUCUUGCGCAAUGGGCGAAAGCCUGACGCAGCAACGCCGCGUGCGGGAUGACGGCCUUCGUGGUUGUAAACCGCUUUCAGCAGGGACGAAAAUGACGGUACCUGCAGAAGAAGCCCCGGCUAACUACGUGCCAGCAGCCGCGGUAAU
This 173-nucleotide ribosomal RNA is filed under the name uncultured bacterium. RNAcentral's name for it is "partial 16S ribosomal RNA". It matches the Rfam family "Bacterial small subunit ribosomal RNA", at positions 335 to 524 of the family's 1533-position model. The record is from RNAcentral.